RNAcentral lists this ribosomal RNA (257 nucleotides) under uncultured archaeon. RNAcentral's name for it is "partial 16S ribosomal RNA". It matches the Rfam family "Archaeal small subunit ribosomal RNA", at positions 748 to 1004 of the family's 1478-position model. The record is from RNAcentral.
CAGCCCUAAACGAUGCGCGUUAGGUGUAUCGGUGACCACGAGUCACCGAGGUGCCGAAGGGAAACCGUGAAACGUGCCGCCUGGGAAGUACGGUCGCAAGGCUGAACUUAAAGGAUUGGCGGGGGAGCACCACAACGGGUGGAGCCUGCGGUUUAAUUGGACUCAACGCCGGGAAGCUCACCGGAUAAGACAGCGGAAUGAUUGCCGGGCUGAAGACCCUGCAUGACCAGCUGAGAGGUGGUGCAUGGUGUAGUCGU